UAAUACGAGGGGAGCAAGCGUUGUUCGGAUUUACUGGGCGUAAAGGGCGCGUAGGCGGCCACGACAAGUCACUUGUGAAAUCUCCGGGCUUAACCCGGAAAGGUCAAGUGAUACUGUCGGGCUAGAGUGCAGAAGGGGCAACUGGAAUUCUCGGUGUAGCGGUGAAAUGCGUAGAUAUCGAGAGGAACACCUGCGGCGAAGGCGGGUUGCUGGGCU
RNAcentral lists this ribosomal RNA (216 nucleotides) under uncultured bacterium. Its description in RNAcentral is "partial 16S ribosomal RNA". It matches the Rfam family "Bacterial small subunit ribosomal RNA", at positions 521 to 735 of the family's 1533-position model. The record is from RNAcentral.